AACACUGAUGAUCAAAAAUUAAAUUUACAAACUAGAGUUUCUGAAUUAUUUUUUCGUGAUUAGAAACUAAUCGCAUUGUCUGAGG
This is a small nucleolar RNA of 85 nucleotides. It matches the Rfam family "Small nucleolar RNA snR78".